AUACUUAUAAUUAUUGCUCUG
Molecule: small RNA, 21 nt
Filed under: Arabidopsis thaliana (thale cress)
Lineage: Eukaryota; Viridiplantae; Streptophyta; Magnoliopsida; Brassicales; Brassicaceae
Description: ATSL240190
Source: RNAcentral